GUCCUGUAGUUACAAUAUCUUGCACCAGACUACGAAUCUGGGGGUCAGGAGUUCGAAUCUCUUCGGGCGCGCCA
RNAcentral lists this transfer RNA (74 nucleotides) under Mesorhizobium sp. 8. Its description in RNAcentral is "tRNA-Arg". Lineage: Bacteria; Pseudomonadati; Pseudomonadota; Alphaproteobacteria; Hyphomicrobiales; Phyllobacteriaceae. The record is from RNAcentral.